This 1884-nucleotide long non-coding RNA is filed under the name Zostera marina. Its description in RNAcentral is "long non-coding RNA (ZMAR_LNC003693)". Lineage: Eukaryota; Viridiplantae; Streptophyta; Magnoliopsida; Alismatales; Zosteraceae. The record is from RNAcentral.
AUUAACGACAUGAGAGUGGUAUUUUGGUUAGGUGAGGUUGGCGAUGAUGCGCAACCGGUAAAGUUGUGGGGUAGGACUUAGGUUUUAUGGACGGAAGGAAAAAAUGGACCAACCUUGUAAAUGAGGUGUAUCGGUGUAUACAUUGAUGAUUGGUUUGUCUAAGUGAAAACGUGAAACAUGAUGGUCGGCAAUGUUGGCAAAGCAAAACAAGUCGGACAAAAUUUUAUGUGGACGAAACAAAAAGACGAAAAUAUUAGAAAUCGGUUUGUACAGUUUUUUUUGGCAAACUAAAUCCAAAUUAACAGUCGCCAUUGCUGCUUUUUGUUUGUUGACUUUUAUGCAUUAUUUUAAUUUGAAUUUUAAACGACGUUGACUUCUUUUCAAGCUUGAACAUUUUGACUUAUAUAAAGAAUAAAAAUUGAUGACAUUGAAAAUUUGAAAUCCGAUUUAUUUUUUUGGUUUAAAAAUAUAAAUUUGAUUCCAAAAUAGUCAACUGUAGAUUCAUUUGUUCCCAUUAGAGCUGAAGAAGAAAACAAACAAUUGAAUAGACAUUAAUCACUUUAAUAUACAAUUUAUUGAUGAAAAAACAAGUCAACAAAGAUGAUGUUAUGAUUUUCAGAAGAAAAGGAAAAAAAAAAAAGUAGAAAUGUCAUUUUCCUUUUUCACGCGGAGAAUUAUAACUAGAUAAACUCCUAGAAAUCUUAAUAGUUACAGUUGAGUUAAUAUUUCUUUGAAUAUAUCAUUUUCAUUAAUCGUAAUCAUCAAUUCCUUUAUUGACUAACUGUUAGAUAACUGUUGAAUAUCCUGACAAUUGAACCUCCAUUGUUUGAUCUGUUCAAACUUCUGGUGGCCAGGAUUGAUUCUUGGACAGAAAAUUGGUAACUAAUGAUAACCCAUUAAGGUCGUGAUCAUAAGAAAUCGCUAUAUUUAGAAGUUGAAAUUUAUUGGAAUAACCCAAAAUCCAUCCAUGAAAAUCCAAAUAAGAGUUUGAAUUCAAAUUGUUCAUUCCUAUUAUUAUGAAUCUUUCUUUAUACAAAAUAUAUACGUUUAAGCAACAAAUCGGAUCUAUUCUCCUAAAAACAUGAAAUUUCAAUUAUUAUUAUUCCUACUCCUCGGAUUGUAAACAUAACAAGCAGUCAAUCUUAGUUUCGUUGUUUUCAUUACGAUAUAAUGGAUGAUAUAUUAUUUGAUUAUGAUAGAUUGAGUCUUUCAAUCUUUGUAUUUGUAAAAAGAUACCUUCAGUUAUAAAAAAAAAUAACUCCAUGACUUUGCCCCUAAGCUUAAGAUAAAAUUAUCGAUAAAUAAUUAGGGUUUAGUAAAAAAUAUAAAAAGGAAUAAAUUUUGAUGUUUGAAUGGACAAUGAAAUCCAUGACAACUUGACAAGUAAAUGAAUAAAUUGAUUUUAAUGUUUUAACUUUAAACUCUUGCAUGUCUGGUAAAAUCUUAAAAAUAUAUAUAUUAAAUUAGAUGAGGUUUAAUUGUUUGAAAUGAGAUUGGGUGAUUAAUUAAUUAAUUAAAGAACAUGGAUGAUUGAUUUAAGAAAAGUCAGAUGGAGGCGCACAUGCGAUUCCAUCUUUAGUCCAAUUAUGCUAUUAUGCACAUGCAUCGAUGCACAACGCGUGUUUCAACGUAAUAUAAUUUAUUUUAUUAUUUUAGUCCAUUUGAAUUUCAAUAUAUCCACUUUAAUUUUUAUUUACUUAUAUAUGACUUAUCUCAAGGUUUAUUAAUGACAGUUUGCGUUAUAUUUUUACAGCUUUUUUUAGGAAGUUCAGUAUAGAGUGAGUUCAAAAACGCUCACAUUAUCUGAACCAUUGGAUAUUGUGCAGAGUCAUCUAAAUUGUCCUUUAAUUAUAAUAUUUUUUAAUGUUUUGGACAGACUUGAAC